This 432-nucleotide ribosomal RNA is filed under the name uncultured bacterium. RNAcentral's name for it is "partial 16S ribosomal RNA". It matches the Rfam family "Bacterial small subunit ribosomal RNA", at positions 29 to 506 of the family's 1533-position model. The record is from RNAcentral.
AACGAACGCUGGCGGCAGGCCUAACACAUGCAAGUCGAGCGCGCCCUUCGGGGUGAGCGGCGGACGGGUGAGUAACGCGUGGGAACGUGCCCUUCUCUGCGGAAUAGCCUCGGGAAACUGAGAGUAAUACCGCAUACGCCCUUUGGGGGAAAGAUUUAUCGGAGAAGGAUCGGCCCGCGUUGGAUUAGGUAGUUGGUGGGGUAAUGGCCCACCAAGCCGACGAUCCAUAGCUGGUUUGAGAGGAUGAUCAGCCACACUGGGACUGAGACACGGCCCAGCCUCCUACGGGAGGCAGCAGUGGGGAAUCUUAGACAAUGGGGGCAACCCUGAUCUAGCCAUGCCGCGUGAGUGAUGAAGGCCUUAGGGUUGUAAAGCUCUUUCAGCUGGGAAGAUAAGGACGGUACCAGCAGAAGAAGCCCCGGCUAACUCCGU